RNAcentral lists this ribosomal RNA (680 nucleotides) under Coolia santacroce. Its description in RNAcentral is "eukaryotic LSU rRNA". It matches the Rfam family "Eukaryotic large subunit ribosomal RNA", at positions 35 to 660 of the family's 3401-position model. The record is from RNAcentral. Lineage: Eukaryota; Dinophyceae; Peridiniales; Ostreopsidaceae.
UAAGCAUAUAAGUAAGUGGUGGAAGAGAAACUAAACAUGAUUCUUUAAGUAAUGGCGAAUGAACAAAGAAAUGUUCAUUUUGAAAAUUGUGGUCUGUGAUCAUGAAUUGUAAUUUCAAAAUGCAUUGCUAACAAAACUGCACAUGGUGGUUUUUUGGAAAGAACAUUACAAAGGGUGAAAAUCCCAUGUGUCAUUUGUAUGUUUUGUAUACAGUGUGCAUUUCAUGAAUCACAUUCAUUGACAAUUGAAUGUAAAUUGAAUGGUAAAUUUCAUUUAAACAUGAAUAUGUUGUUGACAACUUAUAGCAAACAAAUACCAUGAGGGAAAUAUGAAAAGGAUUUUGAAAAGAAAAUUAAAAGAGCUUGCAAUUGCUGAAUUGAUAAGCAAACAAAACACAUGUGUGUGCAAGAUUGUUGUAAUGUUUUGCAUUUUAUGCAAUCACAUUACCAUGGUUUUUGUGUGUUUUGUCAUCUCUCAAAUCUGAAAUGAUUUUUUUGAAAUGUGAUUGGAAUUUUGUUUGUUAACAAAGGAAUGCAUUUUCAAAACUUAUUGUUUGAUUUGACAAACAUGUUUGUAACAUGUCAUGUGUGUCUGUGUGUGCUUCAUUGUUGAUUCAACUAAAUGAUGAUGUGUUUGAUACAUCAAAGACAAUACAUGUUUUGUUUGACCCGUCUUGAAAC